UGGGGACAUACCCAACACAUAUAUACAUGCCAAUUUGUACGCAAUAUAUAACCAUUAUAAAAUUACAAGAUACAUGUAUUCAUUUGUUUUUUUAGUUAGAAAAAAUAAUUUACAAUAUUAUUCCGAAACUUCACUACAAACUUUUGGAGAGUACAAAAGGAAUCACAUAAAUUUUCCCUAAUAUAAAUAGUUGAUAUCUUAGACCAUCUACAAAUGCUAAAAAAGGACUAGUCUAAGUGUAAUAUUAUUAUUAGUAUAAUUAAAUAUUGAAUUUCAUAAAAUUUAAUAUAAUAAUUUUUAAGAGAUAUCGCUAACUAAUCACAAGACGACAUCUCUAGAAAAUACUAGGCACCAUUAGUGUCCAACUCUUUUAUGUCGUAGUAUUUUUUAUAACCUUUUGUUGUCUUGAUUUUGCGUGUGAUGAAUGAAAAUUUUAUCUAAAUUUGCUACUGAUUUUUUAUAUUUAUGUCAAAAAAGAAGUUGUUGCUAUUGAUUUUUUUGGUUAUUUAUUGCAACUCAUUUUUUAUUUUGGCUAUGUCAAAAAAUAUAUUGCUACAAAAAAUUUUGGCUAUAUAUUGCUACUGUUUUUUUCUUAUAUUGCUACUGAUAUUCUUUUUGAAUUGUAGAUAAUAAAUAUAUGGUCAAGAGAUUCCCACCAAAAGAGAAGACUAUGAAUAUUGUUGAAUAAUUUAUUUUAUGAAAAUUUUCAAUUUUAUUUUAAGUUUAUAAUCACUAUGGACAACUUUAAAUGAUUUUCAAGACUUAUAUUUAAAUUUGGAAUUUGGAUGACUAUAAUGCUGUAACUUUUGGUUGAUUAUACUUAUGUUUGAAAUUUAUAUUUUUCAUAUGUUAGGUAUGUAUUUGAUAAUAUUAACAUCUAUUUUUUUUUAUGUAAAAUAAGGGUUAAGGUUGGAUUGUAUAAUAAAAAGAAGGGAUAAUUGCGGCAAAAGUCCCCAAAAACUUGAGGUUGAUGCCGAUUAGUCCUCAACCUCAAAAAUUGGCGGUGAAAAUACCUAAGGUCUCAAUUUUUGUUUGUCCGUUGGUCCUUUUUCUAACGGAUCCGUUAACCCAAAUAAAGUGCCACGUGUCAAUUUUUUAUUGAUCUAAAUAAUAAUUUUAAUUAAAAAAUUUUAAAAAUAAAUAAAAAACUAAAAAAUAUAUUUUAAAAUUAUAAAUUUAUUUUAUUUUAUAUUUUCUUUUUUUUUUAUUCAUCUUCUCCAACCCGCCACCAAAAACUAACCCUACAGACGUCAUCUUAUUCCGCCUCUUCUUCCCUCUACAUUCUCUAAGAUCAUCAGAUCUCCAAGCCAGAUUGUGGGCAUCUUCGGCAUCGUAACGCCCAAACGAGCACCACCACUAGACGUAGCACCCCUUGAAACGUCGAUUUCGCACUCUGCCAUUCCCAGUCAGACCUAUGCCCAAUCGUCUAUCACCACAGUUCUUCUCUUCUUCGAAGACCAAAACCCAGAGAAAUCGAAGACCAAAGGAUCUCACUCCCGGACCACCAACCCUCUCUCCAUUUUCAGAUCUGUUUGCACCACCAACCCUCGCCCCGCCACCCCUGGAGUUUCGCCUCCGGCGGAUGGUGGUAGUGGUGCCAUCUCGGAGUCCCCGUCGCACUGAACCACCCCCAAAUUAGGAUACGUUGAGAAAAAUUCACCCUCCGAGACCAGAUUGGUAUGAAGAAUUCUAUGCUUCAGUUCUGGAUACGAGCAUGAAAUCUUAUGAAGCUGAGAUUGCAGGUUACAAGUCUGAGCUGUUUGCUAAUUUGAGAGGAAAGGCUUAAAGAGUGGUAGAGAUUGGGAUUGGGACGGAUCCAAAUCUUAGGUACUAUGGUGGAGAUAAAGGUGUCCAAGUUUUUGGGGUGGAUCCAAACAAAAAGAUGGAGAAAUAUGCCAAGUCUU
Long non-coding RNA from Cannabis sativa, 1904 nucleotides. RefSeq lists it as uncharacterized. The record is from RefSeq and is a predicted model, not a curated record. The transcript is spliced from 3 exons. NCBI's taxonomy places the organism in Eukaryota, Viridiplantae, Streptophyta, Magnoliopsida, Rosales, Cannabaceae.